Molecule: transfer RNA, 84 nt
Filed under: Thermoplasmata archaeon
Lineage: Archaea; Methanobacteriati; Thermoplasmatota; Thermoplasmata
Also listed under: 2 other names
Description: tRNA-Leu
Rfam family: tRNA
About the family: Transfer RNA (tRNA) molecules are approximately 80 nucleotides in length.
Source: RNAcentral
GCAGGGGUAGCCAAGCCUGGUCAACGGCGCUAGAUUGAGGGUCUAGUCCUUAGUGGUCCCUGGGUUCAAAUCCCAGCCCCUGCA